RNAcentral lists this microRNA precursor (97 nucleotides) under Vigna radiata var. radiata (mung bean). Its description in RNAcentral is "mir-399 microRNA precursor family". It matches the Rfam family "mir-399 microRNA precursor family". From Rfam's summary of the family: mir-399 was identified in both Arabidopsis thaliana and Oryza sativa computationally and was later experimentally verified. mir-399 is thought to target mRNAs coding for a phosphatase transporter. The mature sequence is excised from the 3' arm of the hairpin. Lineage: Eukaryota; Viridiplantae; Streptophyta; Magnoliopsida; Fabales; Fabaceae. The record is from Rfam by way of RNAcentral.
AGAUGCAUUGCAGGGCAAGUUCUCCUUUGGCAGUUUACUAUACUAUCUUAGACAUAGUGUGCAACCUGCCAAAGAAGAUUUGCCCAGUGAUUUUUCU